UAGGGAAUCUUCCGCAAUGAACGCAAGUCUGACGGAGCAACGCCGCGUGAGUGAAGAAGGAUUUCGGUUCGUAAAACUCUGUUGUUAGAGAAGAACAGCGCAUAGAGUAACUGUUAUGCGUGUGACGGUAUCUAACCAGCAAGCCACGGCUAACUACGUGCCAGCAGCCGCGGUAAUACGAAGGUGGCGAGCGUUGUCCGGAUUUAUUUGGCGUAAAGCGAGCGCAGGCGGUCAAUUAAGUCUGAUGUGAAAGCCCCCGGCUCAACCGGGGAGGGUCAUUGGAAACUGGUUUGCUAGAGUGCGGAAGGGGAGAGUGGAAUUCCAUGUGUAGCGGAGAAAUGCGUAGUUAUAUGAAGAAACGCCAGUGGCGAAGGCGACUCUCUGGUCUGUAACUGACGCGGAGGCACGAAAGCGUGGGUAGCAAACAGA
RNAcentral lists this ribosomal RNA (429 nucleotides) under Bacteroidota bacterium. RNAcentral describes it as "Bacteroidetes bacterium partial 16S ribosomal RNA". It matches the Rfam family "Bacterial small subunit ribosomal RNA", at positions 355 to 776 of the family's 1533-position model. The record is from RNAcentral. Lineage: Bacteria; Pseudomonadati; Bacteroidota.